This 57-nucleotide transfer RNA is filed under the name Rathayibacter iranicus. RNAcentral's name for it is "tRNA-Val". It matches the Rfam family "tRNA", at positions 9 to 63 of the family's 71-position model. From Rfam's summary of the family: Transfer RNA (tRNA) molecules are approximately 80 nucleotides in length. The record is from RNAcentral. Lineage: Bacteria; Bacillati; Actinomycetota; Actinomycetes; Micrococcales; Microbacteriaceae.
AGCGCAGUUGGUAGCGCGCUUCCUUCACACGGAAGAGGUCAUCGGUUCGAGUCCGGU